GGUAAUCUGCUGUGGUCUUUUUCCACGGUUUGGAAGCUUUAUUUUUUUGCUCUUUGCAAUAAAUAUUGUUGCUGCUAAUUCUUUGAGUCCACACUGCUUUUGUGAGUUGUAGCACUCACCCGAAGGUUUGCAGCUUCACUCCUGAAGCCAGUGAGACCACGAACCCAACGAGAGGAACGAAGAAUUCCAGACGCGCUGCAUUAAGAGCUGUAACACUCACUGCGAAGGUCUGCAGCUUCACUUUUGAAGCCAGCAAGACCACGAACCCAUCAGAAGGAAGAAACUCCAAACACAUCCGAGCAGCAGAAGGAACAAACUCCGGACACGCUGCCUUUAAGAACUGUGACACUCAGAGCGAGGGUCUGCGGCAUCACAUUUGAAGUCAGUGAGACCAAGAACCCACCGAUUCCGGACGCGAGCAGGUUGCUUCAGGGUAUAGACAUUUGGCACAGUACUGCAGCAUAAACCCAUCAAGGUGUAACUGGAUAAUAGAAAAUCGGAUUUCACAACGGAAAU
This 516-nucleotide long non-coding RNA is filed under the name Homo sapiens (human). Its description in RNAcentral is "HSALNT0331978". Lineage: Eukaryota; Metazoa; Chordata; Mammalia; Primates; Hominidae. The record is from RNAcentral.